Molecule: ribosomal RNA, 428 nt
Filed under: uncultured bacterium
Lineage: Bacteria
Description: bacterial SSU rRNA
Rfam family: Bacterial small subunit ribosomal RNA
Source: RNAcentral
UCGAGGAUCUUCGUCAAUGGGCGAAAGCCUGAACGAGCGACGCCGCGUGCGCGAUGAAGGCCUUCGGGUUGUAAAGCGCGAAAGUGGGGACGAAGCCGAAAGGUUGACCGAUCCACAGUAAGCUCGGGCUAAGUUCGUGCCAGCAGCCGCGGUAAGACGAACCGAGCGAACGUUGUUCGGAAUCACUGGGCUUAAAGGGCGCGUAGGCGGGCAAUCAAGUCUGUGGUGAAAUCCGGCAGCUCAACUGUCGAAUUGCCGUGGAUACUGGUUGUCUCGAGGGAGGCAGGGGUGCGCGGAACUGAUGGUGGAGCGGUGAAAUGCGUUGAUAUCAUCAGGAACUCCGGUGGCGAAGGCGGCGCACUGGUCCUCUUCUGACGCUGAGGCGCGAAAGCCAGGGGAGCAAACGGGAUUAGAUACCCCCGUAGUCC